GCAGUCGUGGUUCAGUGGUAGAAUUCUUGCCUUCCGUGUGAGAGACCCGGGUUCAGUUCCCAGCCAAUACA
Molecule: transfer RNA, 71 nt
Filed under: Loxodonta africana (African savanna elephant)
Lineage: Eukaryota; Metazoa; Chordata; Mammalia; Proboscidea; Elephantidae
Rfam family: tRNA
About the family: Transfer RNA (tRNA) molecules are approximately 80 nucleotides in length. Their secondary structure includes four short double-helical elements and three loops (D, anti-codon, and T loops).
Source: Rfam by way of RNAcentral